This is a long non-coding RNA of Xenia sp. Carnegie-2017, 340 nucleotides long. RefSeq lists it as uncharacterized. The record is from RefSeq and is a predicted model, not a curated record. Lineage: Eukaryota; Metazoa; Cnidaria; Anthozoa; Malacalcyonacea; Xeniidae. The transcript is spliced from 2 exons.
AAUGGAUCUGACCAUGAUGGAAUGAAGCAGUGGAUGAAAGGCAACUGGGAGCAUAUCUCAACCCUAAAAAGUUAUAUGCAGAAGACCGUCUUAAAUCGAUCAGAAUGGAUUAGAAAAACGCCACAACUUACAAUACUAGAGGUUAUGAAAGAAUACCCUCGACUUUUUGAUGUCCCUGGCAUGGUUGAAAUAGACUUUGCAACAUUGUAUCCAGAUGUCGCGGAUAAUCUUUUUCUGCGUUUUACACCAGAAACAGUGGAGAAAAUAAUUUGUUACGCAGAUACACAAACAGAAAAAUGGACAAGAUACUUGAAUAUUGCGACAAGAAACCUGAAUUCCG